GGCCUCGUGGCCCAAUGGCAAGGCGUCUGACUACGAGAAAUUCAGCAUUCUGUUGGAUUUUCAUUGCAAUCAGGAGAUUCUGGGUUCGACCCCCAGCGAGGUCA
This is a non-coding RNA of Xylaria scruposa, 104 nucleotides long. NCBI's taxonomy places the organism in Eukaryota, Fungi, Ascomycota, Sordariomycetes, Xylariales, Xylariaceae. The record is from the annotation of a GenBank genome assembly.